UACGUAGGUGGCAAGCGUUGUCCGGAUUUAUUGGGUUUAAAGAGUGCGUAGGCGGCUUUGUAAGUCAGUGGUGAAAUAUGGCAGCUCAACUGUCAGGGUGCCAUUGAUACUGCGGAGCUUGAGUACAGAUGAGGUAGGCGGAAUUGACGGUGUAGCGGUGAAAUGCUUAGAUAUCGUCAAGAACACCGAUAGCGAAGGCAGCUUACUAGGCUGUAACUGACGCUGAGGCACGAAAGUGUGGGGAUCAAACAGG
Molecule: ribosomal RNA, 253 nt
Filed under: uncultured bacterium
Lineage: Bacteria
Description: partial 16S ribosomal RNA
Rfam family: Bacterial small subunit ribosomal RNA
Source: RNAcentral